This 73-nucleotide transfer RNA is filed under the name Mycobacteroides abscessus subsp. abscessus. RNAcentral describes it as "tRNA-Lys(ctt)". It matches the Rfam family "tRNA". Rfam says of the family: Transfer RNA (tRNA) molecules are approximately 80 nucleotides in length. Their secondary structure includes four short double-helical elements and three loops (D, anti-codon, and T loops). The record is from RNAcentral. Lineage: Bacteria; Bacillati; Actinomycetota; Actinomycetes; Mycobacteriales; Mycobacteriaceae.
CCCGCGCUAGCUCAGCGGCAGAGCUGCGAGCUCUUAACUCGUAGGCCGAAGGUUCGAGUCCUUCGCGCGGGAC